GAUGAACGCUGGCGGCGUGCCUAAUACAUGCAAGUCGAGCGAACGGACGAGAAGCUUGCUUCUCUGAUGUUAGCGGCGGACGGGUGAGUAACACGUGGAUAACCUACCUAUAAGACUGGGAUAACUUCGGGAAACCGGAGCUAAUACCGGAUAAUAUUUUGAACCGCAUGGUUCAAAAGUGAAAGACGGUCUUGCUGUCACUUAUAGAUGGAUCCGCGCUGCAUUAGCUAGUUGGUAAGGUAACGGCUUACCAAGGCAACGAUGCAUAGCCGACCUGAGAGGGUGAUCGGCCACACUGGAACUGAGACACGGCCCAGACUCCUACGGGAGGCAGCAGUAGGGAAUCUUCCGCAAUGGGCGAAAGCCUGACGGAGCAACGCCGCGUGAGUGAUGAAGGUCUUCGGAUCGUAAAACUCUGUUAUUAGGGAAGAACAUAUGUGUAAGUAACUGUGCACAUCUUGACGGUACCUAAUCAGAAAGCCACGGCUAACUACGUGCCAGCAGCCGCGGUAAUACGUAGGUGGCAAGCGUUAUCCGGAAUUAUUGGGCGUAAAGCGCGCGUAGGCGGUUUUUUAAGUCUGAUGUGAAAGCCCACGGCUCAACCGUGGAGGGUCAUUGGAAACUGGAAAACUUGAGUGCAGAAGAGGAAAGUGGAAUUCCAUGUGUAGCGGUGAAAUGCGCAGAGAUAUGGAGGAACACCAGUGGCGAAGGCGACUUUCUGGUCUGUAACUGACGCUGAUGUGCGAAAGCGUGGGGAUCAAACUGGAUUAGAUACCCUGGUAGUCCACGCCGUAAACGAUGAGUGCUAAGUGUUAGGGGGUUUCCGCCCCUUAGUGCUGCAGCUAACGCAUUAAGCACUCCGCCUGGGGAGUACGACCGCAAGGUUGAAACUCAAAGGAAUUGACGGGGACCCGCACAAGCGGUGGAGCAUGUGGUUUAAUUCGAAGCAACGCGAAGAACCUUACCAAAUCUUGACAUCCUUUGACAACUCUAGAGAUAGAGCCUUCCCCUUCGGGGGACAAAGUGACAGGUGGUGCAUGGUUGUCGUCAGCUCGUGUCGUGAGAUGUUGGGUUAAGUCCCGCAACGAGCGCAACCCUUAAGCUUAGUUGCCAUCAUUAAGUUGGGCACUCUAAGUUGACUGCCGGUGACAAACCGGAGGAAGGUGGGGAUGACGUCAAAUCAUCAUGCCCCUUAUGAUUUGGGCUACACACGUGCUACAAUGGACAAUACAAAGGGCAGCGAAACCGCGAGGUCAAGCAAAUCCCAUAAAGUUGUUCUCAGUUCGGAUUGUAGUCUGCAACUCGACUACAUGAAGCUGGAAUCGCUAGUAAUCGUAGAUCAGCAUGCUACGGUGAAUACGUUCCCGGGUCU
This 1372-nucleotide ribosomal RNA is filed under the name uncultured bacterium. RNAcentral's name for it is "bacterial SSU rRNA". It matches the Rfam family "Bacterial small subunit ribosomal RNA", at positions 28 to 1381 of the family's 1533-position model. The record is from RNAcentral.